UUCAGUAUAAAAAACUGACUAAUAAAUAAUGAGGAAAAUGAUAUGGACUGAUUUAAAAGGAAUACUUAUGUUGGUUUUAAGAUGAUAGCUCUAUUGGGAUUUAUGGUAUGAAGAUUAGUUGGUAUCCGGCAAACUUAUCAACAAAAACUAACAUAAACUUAAACUGCAAUACUCAUAACUCUAGCGUUAAUCAUAACUCUACUCAUUCUAAUUUAAUAAAUAGCUAUUAACUGGAAAUAAUAUAAAUCUAUUUUUCUCUUCUUUCAAGAAUUUGAUUCUAUAAUAAUAUAGUGUCUAAUUUAUGCAUAAUUACAUAGAGUAAUAGCAUAAUUUAAUUAUAUGUCUAGGCCAUUUAAUAAAUCAAGCCAAUUAUUAGCAAAUAGCUAAUAAUCCUUUAUACAUAUUUAUAGGCUUAAAUUAAAAUAAACUCAUCUCAAUUAAUAAAUGAAUUAAGGACCCAAACCAAUAAUUAAGCCCCUAAUCUAAUUUAUUACUAAGGUCCAAUAGCAAUUAAUGGCCCAAGUAUUAUUUAAACCCAAUAUGAAAUUCUCAAAGCCCAAUUAAUCAAAAUAAAUAAAAACUAAAUAGAACUUAAGUCUAGAAUAUACUAAAGUCAACAUCUCUCUUCUUCCUUCUUUUUCUUUUUACGCAGACUCCAUUUCUCUCUGUUCUCUCACCUGCGUCUCUCACUUUCCCUCUCCCUCUCGCCCGGCGACGUCGCCAGUCCUCGCCGCCUCGGGCGCGGCGAGGCCGGCGUCUCUCUCCCCUUCUUCUUCCUUUCCUUCCCUUUUCCCCAAUUCUUAAUUCAAAAUCAACCUAGGGUUUCUAAUUUUCCCCCCUUCAACUCCAGUCAUCCGGCGAGUUUCACUGCCACCGUUGUCCCCGUCGCACUGCCACCUACUCCAUCUCAGUUUUUCUAUUUCAGGUGUCUCUCGGAGUGGCUACUGCUCAAGAUCCGAUUUUUAUAUGUGAUAAAUCUAUUUCUUUAUUGUUAUUAAGAAAUUGGAACUGUGUUUAUGAAGUCAGGAUUGCAUAUGUGAUUAUAGUUAUUACUCAUCACAGUUCUUGGUUGCUGCCUUUAUGAUAUAAAGUUAACUGUAUUGAAAAGAAA
Salvia miltiorrhiza (redroot sage) is the source of this 1111-nucleotide long non-coding RNA. RefSeq lists it as uncharacterized. The record is from RefSeq and is a predicted model, not a curated record. NCBI's taxonomy places the organism in Eukaryota, Viridiplantae, Streptophyta, Magnoliopsida, Lamiales, Lamiaceae. The transcript is spliced from 2 exons.